UGAGCCAAGUUUAGGGUUUUCUCAAAACCCAAGCAGUAUUGAACUGAAGAGUUUGAUCAUGGCUCAGAUUGAACGCUGGCGGCAGGCCUAACAC
RNAcentral lists this ribosomal RNA (94 nucleotides) under Pseudomonas aeruginosa. RNAcentral describes it as "partial 16S ribosomal RNA". Lineage: Bacteria; Pseudomonadati; Pseudomonadota; Gammaproteobacteria; Pseudomonadales; Pseudomonadaceae. The record is from RNAcentral.